CUUUUCCCGCACCGGUGGCCGGACUCUGCAUGAGUCACCGCCUGCCUGCAAGCCCAGAGCUCGCCGCACCCCCCUGCCUCUCCGCACCGUCCCACAGGCUGUGACCCUCCACCCAGCCAUAGACGGUUCUGCUCUUGGCACAAAGGAGGGCUUCUUAGCCGGGAAUAUGGCUGCCCGGGAGGGGCGACUUCUGUGCUUGUUUUUCCUUCCUGGCACUGAAAACAAGCACAUCCACCCAACAAAUAAAGACGCGGUCAAUGAAAGCAGCUGUGUUUCAAGGGGAGACAGGGAGCAAGCCAAGGAAUAAAUGAAAAGACCCAGUGACAAAAUGCCCAUUCAUCGGGUUCACUCGGCAAACAUUUACUGAAGCAUCUGUGUGCCAGGCACUGUCCUGAGUGCUGGGAAGACACAAAGAUGCCCUUCAGAACGAUGACCCCCGCCUCGCCCUCCGCUGGAACCGGGAGGCAGACACACACAUAAAUACGACACAGUCAACCGUCCCCAGUUCACAGCAUCUAAAGGAGCUAGGAAUGCAUGGGAUGCUUAUGGAAUGUGCGAGAACACGGAGACAAAGUCUCACUGUGUUCCCAGGCUGAUCCCCAACUCCUGAGCUCAAGCCAGCCACCAGCCUUGGCCUCCCAAAGUGCUGGGAUUACAGGCGUGAGCCACCACGCCGGGCCCAGAUGAACAGACUUCAUGGCUGAGACAGAGCUGAGAGCAGAGAAAACAGACUCAUAAAAUCCUGGCAGAAUCUUUCCAUUCUAAUAGAGAAAAGAGGAAGGUAUGGAAAAGAGUGAAAUUGGCAUAAAAAAUCCAAUAAAGGGCAACGAGCAGGAAACAACAAAAACAUGGGAAACUGCCGACCUGAGGAAUCGCGCUCUUCUAACUUUACAGCUUCACCUGCCGUGUUUGCUCCUGGAGGACUGAGACUUUUGUCUGAUUCGUCUGCUGCUGUCUUCCCGAUGCCUAGAACACUGCCUGAUGCACGGGAAGUAUUUGUCAGAUACAUCCCAUGGCUUCUAAUGCCAUUUGCAAGGAUGAAAGCUGGGUGUGCCCGGCUGUACGGCAAUACUUCCAAAGGCCUGUAGGACUCCCCAGUGACUGUCCCAUUCACCAGGAGGAGGACUGCAGUCACCUGCAUUGUCCUGGGAAGGUCAGCCAGGCCUUUUCCCAAUGUCUGUCUGGGAAAAGCCCCGGUGUAGUCUGCUCGGUCCUACACCCAGAAUCACGGGGGCUUCAGGAGCAGGCAUUACGAGGCAAGGAGUAGCUUCUCCCCCUCACCUCCCACUCAGCAGAACGCACUAGCCCUGUGCUCUUCUGAUCCUGAAGGCAGCUGAGUCUGAAAAGUUCCUGUACCUUUAAAGGUACUAGAGGCAGUGUGGUGCCCACUCAGGAACUGCAUGAUUUAAAUAGGUUUCUAGGAUAAAGGCAACUCGUAGCACAAAGGAACAAGUCCCAGGGAGUGGCAUUCCAGAUCAUUUGAUUCCUGAGCGAAGGAAUUAUUAUGGUGUGGAGGUGGGGACCUCCUUACUACAUUCCAAAUUGCAAUAAGGUUGUAAGGGUUUUCUCUUCCAUUCUGAAGUACUUUGACAAUAGUUUUGAACUUCAAAAAUGUUUAUUAAAGGUGUUUUCACAGCAGUUUCAUAAUGUUUAAUUUGUUAAUUACUGGAAUUGAUGCUAAAUAAAACAGGCAAGUAAUACUUCAGAUGGCUUCAUCUUCAGAGUCUUCUUCAUGUGUGACUCAAAAUGCACAAUUUUGGCCGGGCACAGUGGCUCACGCCUGUAAUCCCAGCACUUUGGGAGGCUGAGACAGGCGGAUCACCUGAGGUCAGGAGUUUGAGACCAGUUUGGCCAACAUGGUGAAACCCCAUCUCUACUAAAAAUACAAAAAUUAGAUGGGCAUGGUGGUGUGUGCCUGUAAUCCCAGCUGCUUGGGAAGCUGAGGCAGGAGAAUUGAUUGAACCCAAGAGGCGGGGCUUGCAGUGAGCCGAGAUCCCGCUCCAGCCUGGGCAACAAGAGCGAGACUCCGUCUCAAAAAAAGAAAAAAAAAGCACAAUUUCAGGACAGCCUAAGCAAAUAAAAAAUGGGAAAUGGAAAUGGAUUCGAAGCAGGGAGGACGUUCCGCCCACUGUCACACCGAAGGAAUGGUGGAGGCUGUGAGUCCUCCGCCCACUGUCACACCGAAGGAUGGUGGAGGCUGUGAGUCCUCCUGUAAGCCGCCGCUGGAGAAGGGGCAGCUCUGGAACCUGACGACAUUCUCCUAUCUUGCAUGAGGUGGAGACAAAGAGUCCUUCUGCGCUGGGACAGGAUGAGGGCGAAGUGGUGACUUCAGGUCAGAAGCAGAGCCUUGGGGACCUCUGAUUCUCAAGGGCGAGCUCCCUCCAGAACCCCAAGAGAUGGCCCUGACUGCAUGGGAAAGCGUGUCUCACCAUUGCAAUGUUCUCUAAGUCUGGAGGAGGCGGAGCCCAGUGAGAAUGACAGGCAGACCGCAAGGAGGCCCGGAAGCCCCCCAUGGCGAGGAUGCAUCCAAGUGUAUUCUGUAGGAGUGACCAGUGGCCACGUGGGUAGUGGGCAGAGCUUGUUUUCCUCCAAUAUCAGCGUACAGAGCAGGGGAGCCUGGUGAAGGUUUCUCUCUGAAAUCAUGGAUUCAGCUGUAUUAGUUUCUAUCCAAGGCUGGCAUAGCUCACCUUCCACUCCAGCAAUGACCUCGGGCCAGCUGUCACGAGCCUUCUCACCACGAGGAUGGUCUGGGGUGGUGAGAUCUCACUGUUGGCCAUAAUUCAUUCAACAUUUCUUCACUUCUCUGCUUAAUUUUGGUCGAAUGUCAUGC
Molecule: long non-coding RNA, 2830 nt
Filed under: Homo sapiens (human)
Lineage: Eukaryota; Metazoa; Chordata; Mammalia; Primates; Hominidae
Description: HSALNT0100053
Source: RNAcentral